RNAcentral lists this long non-coding RNA (305 nucleotides) under Gossypium raimondii (Peruvian cotton). RNAcentral's name for it is "long non-coding RNA (GRAI_LNC000304)". The record is from RNAcentral. Lineage: Eukaryota; Viridiplantae; Streptophyta; Magnoliopsida; Malvales; Malvaceae.
GAAGGUGUAGAUUUUUUGUCUAUUUUGUUUCGUUUGUCUAUUUUCUUUAGUUUGUUUGUUUUGGUUUAAUUUGGUUUAGUUUCCAAAAAGAAUUUGUUGUUUGUGUGUUGAUUAUAUGAUUAUGUGGUCAAUUUGUGUUAAUAGAUGUCAACCAUAGGAUUGAGGCAUGAUUGGAUAAAUAUGAUAUGUAUGUAUGGAUGAAUAGUUAGAUAAUAUGGAUUGUUUUAGUUCUUUUAGUUACUUAUUUAUUGUGAAUAGAUACUUUUAUAGUUAUGCAUGUGUGUACCAUAUAAAGAAUGUAAAAU